GUGAACGCUGGCGGCGUGCCUAAUACAUGCAAGUCGAGCGAACAGAUGAGGAGCUUGCUCCUCUGACGUUAGCGGCGGACGGGUGAGUAACACGUGGAUAACCUACCUAUAAGACUGGGAUAACUUCGGGAAACCGGAGCUAAUACCGGAUAAUAUAUUGAACCGCAUGGUUCAAUAGUGAAAGACGGUUUUGCUGUCACUUAUAGAUGGAUCCGCGCCGCAUUAGCUAGUUGGUAAGGUAACGGCUUACCAAGGCAACGAUGCGUAGCCGACCUGAGAGGGUGAUCGGCCACACUGGAACUGAGACACGGUCCAGACUCCUACGGGAGGCAGCAGUAGGGAAUCUUCCGCAAUGGGCGAAAGCCUGACGGAGCAACGCCGCGUGAGUGAUGAAGGUCUUCGGAUCGUAAAACUCUGUUAUUAGGGAAGAACAAAUGUGUAAGUAACUAUGCACGUCUUGACGGUACCUAAUCAGAAAGCCACGGCUAACUACGU
RNAcentral lists this ribosomal RNA (495 nucleotides) under uncultured bacterium. Its description in RNAcentral is "partial 16S ribosomal RNA". It matches the Rfam family "Bacterial small subunit ribosomal RNA", at positions 29 to 506 of the family's 1533-position model. The record is from RNAcentral.